RNAcentral lists this ribosomal RNA (413 nucleotides) under uncultured bacterium. Its description in RNAcentral is "bacterial SSU rRNA". It matches the Rfam family "Bacterial small subunit ribosomal RNA", at positions 361 to 771 of the family's 1533-position model. The record is from RNAcentral.
AUAUUGGGCAAUGGACGGAAGUCUGACCCAGCCAUGCCGCGUGCAGGAUGAAGGCCUUCUGGGUUGUAAACUGCUUUUAUCUGGGAAGAAAACACCUAUGCGUAGGAAACUGACGGUACCAGAUGAAUAAGCACCGGCUAACUCUGUGCCAGCAGCCGCGGUAAUACAGAGGGUGCGAGCGUUGUUCGGAAUCACUGGGCGUAAAGCGCGCGCAGGCGGGACUUGCAAGUCGGGAGUGAAAGGCCGGGGCUCAACCCCGGAGCUGCUUUCGAGACUGCGGACCUGGAGACCAGUAGGGGUUGGUGGAAUUCCCGGUGUAGCGGUGGAAUGCGUAGAUAUCGGGAAGAACCCCCGUGGCGAAGGCGGCCAACUGGGCUGGAUCUGACGCUGAGGCGCGAAAGCGUGGGGAGCAA